AGUGAACGCUGGCGGUAGGCCUAACACAUGCAAGUCGAACGGCAGCACAGAGGAGCUUGCUCCUUGGGUGGCGAGUGGCGGACGGGUGAGGAAUACAUCGGAAUCUACUCUGUCGUGGGGGAUAACGUAGGGAAACUUACGCUAAUACCGCAUACGACCUACGGGUGAAAGCAGGGGAUCUUCGGACCUUGCGCGAUUGAAUGAGCCGAUGUCGGAUUAGCUAGUUGGCGGGGUAAAGGCCCACCAAGGCGACGAUCCGUAGCUGGUCUGAGAGGAUGGUCAGCCACACUGGAACGGAGACACGGUCCAGACUCCUACGGGAGGCAGCAGUGGGGAAUAUUGGACAAUGGGCGCAAGCCUGAUCCAGCCAUACCGCGUGGGUGAAGGAGGCCUUCGGGUUGUAAAGCCCUUUUGUUGGGAAAGAAAUCCAUCUGGUUAAUACCCGGGUGGGAUGGCGGUACCCAAAGAAUAAGCACCGGCUAACUUCGUGCCAGCCGCCGCCGUAA
Molecule: ribosomal RNA, 506 nt
Filed under: uncultured bacterium
Lineage: Bacteria
Description: partial 16S ribosomal RNA
Rfam family: Bacterial small subunit ribosomal RNA
Source: RNAcentral